This is a non-coding RNA of Cinara cedri, 1249 nucleotides long. Lineage: Eukaryota; Metazoa; Arthropoda; Insecta; Hemiptera; Aphididae. The record is from the annotation of a GenBank genome assembly.
CUCACCUAUAUCAAAUUUUAAUUGAACACCCUUAAAUGUUUUUUAUAUCUGAAAGUAGGUAGUAUUACUGUUUAGUUUAUAAUAAAUAUAAAUCAAAGACAUUUCAUAAGUCUAUUCCACUAAUUUGUGUUUGGAGUUAUACAUCGCUGAUUAUGUUAAAAACAAUAUGGUUUUCUUAUGGUAAUUACAUAAUUAUAUAUAGGUAGAAUUGUCCCUCUAAUGUUGUUUUGAAUGUGAGAGAAAUAGUUAUACAAUUUGCUUGUAUUAGCAGUCAUAUAAUAAUUAAAUUAUAAUUGUAAACAUUUUUAUAUUAUGUAUUUACUAUUGAUUUAAUUAUGAUCAUUGAUAAUAAUUAAUUUCAGACCAAUAGUUGAAUAUAGCUCAAUUCUUUAAGAUCCAUAUAAAUCCUUCGACUCAUACCAACUUGAACGUAUUCACUGUUCAGUGAAUUUACCUUAAUUUUGAUUCUUUCUGUCAUACAACAUAACUUGAACCACAUGAUAAUUUCGCCAUCCUACGAUACUUAAAGAUUAGUAGUUUUUCCAAAAGAAGGUUAUUAAUUAACCUAAAUUAUCUCAACAAACUUGUAAAUAGUUUCAUUAAUGCAUCUGAACCUUUUUCUGGGGUUAAUUUUAGGAUUCCAAGUAGAAUCUCUAGGUUAUCUACUCCCUACUAUAUUUUUCUACAUUUCACUAUCUAUGAUUGUAACACUCCAUUCACCGUAUAAUGCAUCCAGCUAACAAGAACCUCUUCCUUCUAGUCUAUAGUCUAUAAUACCUUUCUAUUACUAUAACUUAAUUUAAUUCUAAACUUUAUACAACUUAUCUUCAUGUUAUUGUACCUUGGACAACCGCUAGUAUUGCCAACAGGUCAGUAUUUCAUUUCAAUAGAUUUAAACAGACAGUUACUUGCCUAUAAAAAGCAGGUAUUUCAAUCCAAUCAACAAGAGAUCAAUAUAAAUAUAUCAUUUUCGGCACCAUUAAAAAUUAUUAAUGCAUUUGUUGAACGCAUUUUCAACAGUUUGAAUAGUUUGGGAGUUGACACAGUUAGAGCCAAAUUAUACGUAAGAGAUAACAUAACACAUACAUGUACUGAGUUCUGUGAAAUAAUUAAAAAUGUAUUAAAUGCUACAAAAAAUACCUCUAAAUAUGUCUUAAUAUAACUUUAAUAAAAAGGUUUAAUUUGUUUUAUUAUUUAAAAAUUGUCCACAUGAAUACUUCUUUAAUGUACCUAGCUAUUAGUAAUAAUG